Erythranthe guttata (spotted monkey flower) is the source of this 854-nucleotide non-coding RNA. The record is from RefSeq and is a predicted model, not a curated record. NCBI's taxonomy places the organism in Eukaryota, Viridiplantae, Streptophyta, Magnoliopsida, Lamiales, Phrymaceae.
GCACGUUUUUACCUAAACUUCGGUUUUCGUUGCACGGUGCCUUAAAAAGGGAAUAUUCCGGGCAUUUUUGCCGGAAUCCCACACAUGUGCAUUUCACGUGAUUUUUCUAAGGGUAAAACCGUCUCAUCACUUAAAAACUAACCUAGGGCUGUAUUUCCCCCCUUUUCCUCUCCCGUUUGUCCAAUUUUCCCUCCAAAAUUAAGAGCUUCUCCUUCUUCUUUAUACCUGCUGUGCUCCAAAUCUUAUAGCCCUCUUCCCAUCCGUUUUUUUGUCUUCUCUCACAGACGAAAAUCACUUAGAAAUUAUUGUCUUUUUUUUUUUUCCUGUCGUCUCUCACAAACGAAAGCAAUCUGUGAGAGAAUGGAAGCAACGUGUUAUUGUUCGAGAAGGGUAGUCACAAGAACUUCCUGGACUGAUUUAAAUCCAGGAAGGAGAUUUUCGACAUGUGAUAACUACAAGAAAAUUCGAGGCUGUAACUACUUUGUGUGGAUUGAUCCCCCGAUGUGUGACAGAUCUCGUCAAAUUAUUCUUGGGCUGCUUCGGAAAAUUAACAUGCGUGAAGAGGAGUUGAUGAAGAAGAGUUCAAGGGAAAAGUGCCUGUGGAUUGCAGUGAUAAUCUCAUGGUUGUUUGUGUAUCUCCUUAUAUAAUAUGUCUGUGUUCUUGAAAUUAAAAUAUUUAUUUCUGUAUCUUGAAAAUCUGUGUUCUUGAGAUUAAGAUAUUUUGGAGUUUUUGAUUUUUUAUGUAGUGAGUUGUGUUCUAUUGUUCUUGUGUCUCUGUUUUUCAAAAAACAGAUUGUGUAGUGUAAUUUCAUCUUUAUGUAAUGAAAUCAAUGGCUAUUGUGAUGUGGUUUAUU